Molecule: ribosomal RNA, 426 nt
Filed under: Cardinium endosymbiont of Cybaeus signifer
Lineage: Bacteria; Pseudomonadati; Bacteroidota; Cytophagia; Cytophagales; Amoebophilaceae
Description: bacterial SSU rRNA
Rfam family: Bacterial small subunit ribosomal RNA
Source: RNAcentral
GAGCGUGCGUCCUAUUAGUUAGUUGGGGGGGUAAUGGCUCCCAGGCUACGAUGGGUAGGGGUUCUUAGUGGAAGGUCCCCCACACUGGCACUGAGAUACGGGCCAGACUCCUACGGGAGGCAGCAGUAGGGAAUAUUGGUCAAUGGGCGCAAGCCUGAACCAGCCAUGCCGCGUGCAGGAUGAAGGCUCUCUGAGUUGUAAACUGCUUUUAUACAGGAGCAAAAAAAUCCCUGCGGGGGUUCUUGAGAGUACUGUAAGAAUAAGCACCGGCUAAUUCCGUGCCAGCAGCCGCGGUAAUACGGGAGGUGCAAGCGUUAUCCGGUUUUAUUGGGUUUAAAGGGUGCGUAGGCGGCUUAUUAAGUCAGUUGUGAAAUCCUAGUGCUUAACGCUAGAACUGCGAUUGAUACUAUUAGGCUUGAGUUAAAA